CCUGCGGAGGGAUCAUUACUGAGUUUACGCUCUACAACCCUUUGUGAACAUACCUAUAACUGUUGCUUCGGCGGGUAGGGUCUCCGUGACCCUCCCGGCCUCCCGCCCCCGGGCGGGUCGGCGCCCGCCGGAGGAUAACCAAACUCUGAUUUAACGACGUUUCUUCUGAGUGGUACAAGCAAAUAAUCAAAACUUUUAACAACGGAUCUCUUGGUUCUGGCAUCGAUGAAGAACGCAGCGAAAUGCGAUAAGUAAUGUGAAUUGCAGAAUUCAGUGAAUCAUCGAAUCUUUGAACGCACAUUGCGCCCGCCAGCAUUCUGGCGGGCAUGCCUGUUCGAGCGUCAUUUCAACCCUCAAGCUCUGCUUGGUGUUGGGGCCCUACAGCUGAUGUAGGCCCUCAAAGGUAGUGGCGGACCCUCCCGGAGCCUCCUUUGCGUAGUAACUUUACGUCUCGCACUGGGAUCCGGAGGGACUCUUGCCGUAAAACCCCCAAUUUUCCAAAGGUUGACCUCGGAUCAGGUAGGAAUACCCGCUGAAACUUAAGCAUAUCAAUAA
Molecule: ribosomal RNA, 555 nt
Filed under: fungal sp.
Lineage: Eukaryota; Fungi
Description: eukaryotic LSU rRNA
Rfam family: 5.8S ribosomal RNA (bases 191-344)
Source: RNAcentral